This 407-nucleotide ribosomal RNA is filed under the name uncultured prokaryote. Its description in RNAcentral is "bacterial SSU rRNA". It matches the Rfam family "Bacterial small subunit ribosomal RNA", at positions 355 to 776 of the family's 1533-position model. The record is from RNAcentral. RNAcentral also lists the same sequence under 1 other name.
UGGGGAAUAUUGGGCAAUGGGCGAAAGCCUGACCCAGCGACGCCGCGUGAGGGAAGAAGGUCUUCGGAUUGUAAACCUUAGUUAGCAGGGAAGAAGAAAGUGACGGUACCUGCAGAGAAAGCCACGGCUAACUACGCGCCAGCAGCCGCGGUAAUACGUAGGUGGCAAGCGUUAUCCGGAUUUACUGGGUGUAAAGGGUGUGUAGGCGGGAAAGCAAGUCAGAUGUGAAAACUAUGGGCUCAACCCAUAGCCUGCAUUUGAAACUGUUUUUCUUGAGAGUCGGAGAGGUAAGUGGAAUUCCCGGUGUAGCGGUGAAAUGCGUAGAUAUCGGGAGGAACAUCUGUGGCGAAGGCGACUUACUGGACGAUUACUGACGCUGAGACACGAAAGCGUGGGGAGCAAACAGG